This 473-nucleotide ribosomal RNA is filed under the name uncultured bacterium. RNAcentral describes it as "bacterial SSU rRNA". It matches the Rfam family "Bacterial small subunit ribosomal RNA", at positions 329 to 792 of the family's 1533-position model. The record is from RNAcentral.
UUCCAGACUCCUACGGGAGGCAGCAGUGGGGAAUUUUGGACAAUGGGCGCAAGCCUGAUCCAGCUAUUCCGCGUGUGGGAUGACGGCCCUCGGGUUGUAAACCACUUUAGUAGAGAACGAAAAGGAGCUAUCGAAUAAAUAGCUCUGCUGACGGUACUCUAAGAAUAAGCAUCGGCUAACUACGUGCCAGCAGCCGCGGUCAUACGUAGGAUCCGAGCAUUAUCCGGAGUGACUGGGUGUAAAGAGUUGCGUAGGUGGCAUAAUAAGUAGCUAGUGAAAUCUGGUGGCUCAACCAUUCAGACUAUUAGCUAAACUGUUAAGCUCGAGACCGUUAGGGGUAACUGGAAUUUCUAGUGUAGGAGUGAAAUCCGUAGAUAUUAGAAGGAACACCGAUAGCGUAGGCAGGUUACUGGGACGGUUCUGACACUAAGGCACGAAAGCGUAGGGAGCAAACGGGAUUAGAUACCCCUGUA